Molecule: ribosomal RNA, 167 nt
Filed under: Cyclothone obscura
Lineage: Eukaryota; Metazoa; Chordata; Actinopteri; Stomiiformes; Gonostomatidae
Description: partial 12S ribosomal RNA
Source: RNAcentral
UACCGCGGUUACACGAAAAGCCCCAGCUGAUAGGCCCCGGCACAAAGGGUGGUUAAGGAAACCUUUUAAAGCCAAACUCUACCCCCGCCCGCUGUGAUACGCAGCUCGCAAGUAAAGACCUAGACGAAAGUAACUUUACUUUGCCUGAAGCCACAAAAGCUAGGGCA